Molecule: non-coding RNA, 322 nt
Organism: Triticum urartu
Lineage: Eukaryota; Viridiplantae; Streptophyta; Magnoliopsida; Poales; Poaceae
Source: RefSeq, a predicted model, not a curated record
AAUUGCCUGCUCUUUCCUUGCUAUUAUAGAACAGAGUAGCGGGAGAGACUUAUAGUGCCAAUUAUUUUUCAAAACCUGCAUAUCUGUUGUGAUCUAAUAUAUGUUCCAUAGAAUGGUGUAGACAACGCCUAUAAUAGGAGAGGUUGCACCAAAGCUAACACUUGCACGAUGGAUGCCUCCCGAUUGAUCCGCCUCAUUGCAAAAAAGCCAAGAGAACACAUGAGCACCUGCGUAGCGACACCCGCCAAUAUUGUGUCGCGCCAUCCCACUGUCCGGAGCUGCCGCUCUGCCGAAUGAGCAGACCAUCACCUACCAUCCACAU